AUCUUUUAGAAGGUUUUCGUGGUGUUUUUUUUUUUUUUUUUUUUGAGUUAACGAACCCAAGCGUAGCCGUAACGCCAAGAAAAGUAACAAUGCUAAUCUGUCCUCAAACGCGUCAUUCCGGUAGUACAUUUUCGUUAGCUUAUUAGCGUCAUGGGCGAAAGCGCUACCAUGUUUCCCUCGAGUCCGUGUAAACAAGAGACUUCGCUGAUAUGUUAUCUUCUUCUUACCGUGUGCCUCGUGUCAUUACCGGUUACCGGAGCCAAGCAGGACAGCCUCCGGAUUGUCACUGACAGCAACUGGGAGGACAUCCUGACUGGAGAGUGGAUGAUUGAAUUCUAUGCGCCUUGGUGUCCAGCCUGCCAGCAGCUACAACCGGUGUGGCAAGAGUUUGCUGACUGGGGGGAGGACAUGGAGGUCAACAUAGCAAAGGUGGAUGUGACAGAGCAACCAGGGCUAAGCGGGAGAUUUGUCAUUACUUCACUGCCGACCAUUUACCAUUGCAAAGAUGGCGUUUUCCGCAAGUACCAGGGAGCGCGCACCAAAGAAGAGUUCCUCAGCUUCGUGGGUGACAAAAAAUGGGCUACGGUGGAGCCGGUCUCCUCAUGGUUCGCGCCUUCAUCUUUUCUAAUGAACUCCAUGUCAGCUCUAUUCAAACUUUCUAUGUUCAUACGACGUUGCCAUAACUACAUGACGGAUAAAAUGGGCCUCCCCGUGUGGGGCUCGUACGUCAUCUUCGGCUUGGUCACGCUUUUCUCCGGUCUUGCGCUCGGACUGCUACUGGUGUUCAUCGCUGAUUUUGUCUUCCCGUCGCGGCGUUUGUCCUCGCCGGACUAUUACCAGAAGAAACAAACGGCAGAGCAGGCCUGGCUGCUUCAACAGCAGCAGGAGGAAGAAGAACACGAGGCCGAUGGCGAGGAGGAGGACGACGAUGAAGAGGACGAGGAGGACGUGGACGAGGCGUGGAGGACGCAGCGGCGGCCACGCAGGGCCUCCCCCGAGGGCCAGCCCGAGCCCAAAGGACAGGCGGUAAGGAAGAGGGCGAUGCCUGGACGCAAAGGAGACAACGAUGACGAAGAAGAAGAAGACACUUAGACACACGUUGUAGGACGUCACGUCAUCUUAUGUCGAGUGGGUGGAAUCAACACGAGAAGAGCCGCCACUUGGGGCGCCAUUGCGGCUCAACCUGGGAACAAAACUUGAGAAUUGCACAAAGAAAAUGCCAUUUCCUGUUCUGUGACGACCAUGGCAAACCAGGGUUUCCCUCAGAAACUUGCAAAAGCCUGGUGGUAGGGAAGCCCACUAAUGGCUCAUAAAUGUGGAGUUGACAGGAAUUUGGAAACGAUGACUAUUAUGAGGUAUCCUAAGCCACCUCUCAGCAAUACUUAAGCGCAGUGUCUUACAAAUAGGCAGUCUUGAAAAUGAAAUACUGUUUUACCAAACAACACUGCUGGCCAAAAGUAUUGGCACCCCAGCAGUUAUGUCAGAUAAUGCUCAAUUCCUCCCAGAAAAUGAUUGCAAUUACAAAUGCUUUGGUAGUAAUAUCUUCAUUUAUUUUGCUUGCAAUAAAAAACACAAAAGAGAAUGAAAAAUUAAAUCAUUAUCAUUUUACACAAAACUCCCAAAAUGGGCCGGACAAAAGUAUUGGCACCCUCAGCCUAAUACUUGGUAGCACAACCUUUAGACAAAAUGACUGCGAACAACCGCUUCCGGUAUCCAUCAAUGAGUUUCUUACAAUGCUCUGCUGAAAUUUUAGACCAUUCUUCAUCGGGCAACUUCUCCAGAUCUCAGAGAUUUUAAGGGUGCCAUCUCCAAAAUGCCAUUUUCAGAUCUCUCCACUGGUGUUCUAUCAGAUUCAGAUCUGGACUCAUUUCUGGCCACUUUAGAAGUAUCCAGUGCUUUCUCUCAAACCAUUUUCUAGUGCUUUUUGAAGUGUGUUUUGGGUCAUUGUCCUGCUGGAAGACCCAUGACCUCUACAGGAAGACCCAGCUUUCUCACACUGCAAAAUUUAUUGGUAGUCUUCAGACUUCAUAAUGUCAUGCACACGGUCAAGCGGUCCAGUGCCAGAGGUAGCAAAGCAACCCCAAAACAUCAGGGAACCUCUGCCAUGUUUGACUAUGGGGACUAGAGCUGGGAAUCUUUGGCCACCUAACGAUUCGAUUGCGAUUCAAAGGCUCCGAUUCGAUUAUAAAACAAUUAUUGAUGCACCCCCCUCCUUUUUUUGUUUUUUUGUGUGUGUGUGUUUUUUUUUUUUUUUUUAAUGUUUUGUACAUUAGUUCCAAAAUUGUUCAAAAAUACUCUCAGGCUACACCAAACUACUAUUUCAGUAUCAAGUUAACAUAUAGCGGUAAAUAAAUAUACAAAAAUAACAGUAAAUGAAAAACUCCAGUCUCCAUUCUGUAUCAGCAGCUUUCAACUACAUUCAAUUAAUUUAAUGUUGUGAAUCAACCGUUAAAGUUGUUAAAAUUGCUCCCGUUAUUCCAUAAUUUCCCUUUUGUCUACUUUCGACAUGUGAAAGUUUUAAAACUAUUUUAAAGAUAGAUUCAAAUCAAUAUUUUACCGAUUUAGGAGUAUUUUAGAUAAAAAGUGAAUUAGGUUUGCUUGGAAGGUUCGCUACAACAGCCUUGCAGGGAAGUGUACUGCUUUAAGAUGGCGGCCGUUUACUAACGCCCGCAUCUAGCUUUUUGUAGCUGUGCUGCUAACGCUACCGAAUCUAUAAUGCAUCUAGUCCUAUAUAAAUGAUAUCUACCAUAACAUGUGGAUGUACUUUGUAGCAGCUUUUCGGCAGCAGUCAGGUAUGUUGUUGUGUUUUUUUAUCUCGUGGCAUGAGUUGAGCUAGAGCCAUGAGUUGAGCAUUGGCAUUGCCCGAGGGGCCGGGUAAUGAGAAGCAUGAUAUUUAGCUACUCUCGCUCCGUUCCUCAUUCCGAAGACCGCGCAGCGUGCGGAGUGUGUCGUACUUCCGCUUUACUUGGCAUAUUUCAAUAAUCGGAAUUUGGAUGUUUGUGAAUCGUUCUCGAAUCUUCCACGGCCGAAUCGCGAAUAAUCUAAGAAUCGGAAAUUUUGCACACCUCUAAUGGGGACAGUGUUCUUUUCUUUGAAGGCAUUGUUUUUUCCCUGUUGGACUGUGGGACAGCUUGAACUUGUUUGGAUGUUAGUCGUGGUUCUUUAUCCACCAUCAGUACAAUCUUUCGUUGAAAUCUCUCGUCAAUUUUCUUUUCCGUCCACAUCUAGGGAGGUUAGCCACAGUGCCAUUGGCUUUACACUUAUUGAUGACAAUGCGCAAGGUAGACACAGGAACAUUCAGCUCUUUGGACUUGUAGCCUUGAGAUCGCCCAUGCUUCCUCACAAUUUUGCUUCUCAAGUCCUUAGACAGUUUUUUGGUCUUCUUUCUUUUCUCCAUGCUCAAUGUGGUACACACAAGGACACAGGACAGAGGUUAAGUCAACUUUAAUCCAUUUUAACUGGCCGCAAGUGUGAUUUAGAUAUUGCCACCACCUGCUAUGUGCCACAGGUAAGUAACAGGUGCGGUUAAUUACACAAAUUAAAGAAGCAUCACAUGAUUUUUCAAAGGGUGCCAAUACUUUUGUCUGGCCCAUUUUUACAGUUUUGUGUAAAAUGAUAAUGAUGUAUUUAUUUUCCCAUUUUCUUUUGUGUUUUUUCAUUGCAAGCAAAAUAAAUAAAGAUAUUACUACCAAAGCAUUUGUAAUUGUAAUCAUUUUCUAGGAGAAAUUGCAUUAUAUGACAGAAUUGCAGAGGUGCCAAAACUUUUGGCCAGCACUGUACAUGACAAUGCAAUUUAAUGCAAUGGCAGAGUACAUGUCUGGUCACAUACAGCCAUAAGAUCUCGCCAUUGCGCUUGUACUCCUAUCACCAGAUAGUGUUUACCGUAAAAUCUGUAUACUUUUUUUUUUUUUUUUUGUAGCACUGUUUUAGCCUGGCCAGGAAAAGCCUGAUGGCCCGCCAGUCUUAUAAAGCACUGUGGGAAACCCUGCAACCAUAUAUUAUAUACCACUUUGGAGGUUCCACCUUACUAUUGUUUUAUGUUGGUUUUAGUGCAGAAAUUUUUUUUUUUGAACUUUUAUCAUUUUCACUACCAUGCUGUUGACAAAGAAGUAGAAACGGUUUAAUUAAAAAAAAAUGUCAUCCAUUGAUAUGUAUUGUUUUAAGAUAUCUAUGAUUAAUCUCUGUCAAACCAAAUUGGAACAGCAGAGUGCGUGUUUAUAGAAUUAUUUGAAUUUCUCAUUUUCUUGUUUUAUGGCUAAAAACAUUUUUAAUGGACAAAAUAAGGGUGGUGGUUAUUAUUAUUUUAUUUUUUUUAACUCAUUGGACACACCACUAUUUAAAGACUGUAGCAUUCGCCACCUGUUUGUUUGGAAUUUUCUUUGAAUAAAACGGAAUUAUCUUUGAAUCCAAGCUCGUUUUGAACAUGCGUUUGUUUUCGCACGCAGGUUGUCUGAAUUCUAUUGCUUGUAUUGAGCUGCGGUAAUUUCUUACCAGUAGAUGUCACUCUAAUGAUGGACAAUAUUUUUCCCCUGUCAGCGCGACGAGUUUUUAUUAAUCUAAUUGUUUUCAUGAAUUUUUAAAUAUUUUGUUCGAAUCUUGGCUGGACUGAUACUGCGUGAUUUAGGUAUUCUUUUUUAAUUAUUGAUUGUAAAUAUUCUCUUAUUCACUUGUGUGUGUGACUAUAUAGAUACAUUUUUAAAAAAG
This is an RNA transcript of Corythoichthys intestinalis (scribbled pipefish), 4704 nucleotides long. It is a transcript of the gene named thioredoxin-related transmembrane protein 1, with no coding region annotated. The transcript is spliced from 9 exons. Lineage: Eukaryota; Metazoa; Chordata; Actinopteri; Syngnathiformes; Syngnathidae. The record is from RefSeq and is a predicted model, not a curated record.